Molecule: long non-coding RNA, 326 nt
Filed under: Gossypium barbadense (sea-island cotton)
Lineage: Eukaryota; Viridiplantae; Streptophyta; Magnoliopsida; Malvales; Malvaceae
Description: long non-coding RNA (GBAR_LNC006336)
Source: RNAcentral
AUCAAGCAUCCUUAGCAAAGUACCAAUAAUCUCAUAUUAAGAUUUAUAAUCAUUCUAGUUAAUAAACUUUUAGCCCAUAAUCAUUAAACUAAAAACACUCAAAUAAAUUUCAGCCUUGGUUUCAAACAAUAGAAAAAACGAAAUAACAGGUAAAGAGAAAGGCUAAGAGAUGUGAGUCGAAUGUCGAUGGUUCUCCGCAAGUCGUUCACGUCUGGUCCUUUCUCCUCUUCUCUACUUCUUUUUCCGCACUCUUGCUCUGAAAGUUCCUAUUCUAUUUGUUCAAACCUGACGAUUGCCCCCCAUUUUCUCAAAAUAUGAUAUUUAUA